AUGAUCUGCCUAAGCUGGAACUGUCGGGGGUUUGGGAACCCCGAGGCAGUUCGCGAGCUUCGCAGCGUUGUGAAGCAAGAAGGCCCCGCUCUGGUCUUUGUCAUGGAAACAAAGAUCUGAGGGAAACAUGUUGAAAAGUUGCAGCAGACGCUAGGGUUUGAUGGUUGUUUUGCUAUGGACAGCGAUGGACUAAGUGGGGGCAUCGGCCUCUUUUGGUCUCGAGAUGUAACAGUGGAGCCCAAGUGUCGGAUAUAG
Molecule: ribosomal RNA, 255 nt
Filed under: Triticum aestivum (bread wheat)
Lineage: Eukaryota; Viridiplantae; Streptophyta; Magnoliopsida; Poales; Poaceae
Description: partial small subunit ribosomal RNA
Source: RNAcentral